GCUGGGCGUGGUGGCUCACGCCUGUAAUCCCAGCACUUUGGGAGGCCGAGGCUGGCGGAUUACCUGAGGUCAGGAGUCCCAGACCAGCCUGACCAAAAUGGUGAAACCCUGUCUCUA
This 117-nucleotide non-coding RNA is filed under the name Nomascus leucogenys (northern white-cheeked gibbon). The record is from Rfam by way of RNAcentral. Lineage: Eukaryota; Metazoa; Chordata; Mammalia; Primates; Hylobatidae.